AUGCCACCAGGGGUCUCUUCAGACACCCCAUACAUACCCAACAAGACAUGCCACUAGGGGUCUCUUCAGACACCCCAUACAUACCCAACAAGACAUGCCACAAGGGGUCUCUUCAGACACCCCAUACAUACCCAACAAGACAUGCCACCAGGGGUCUCUUCAGACACCCCAUACAUACCAAACAAGACAUGCCACCAGGGGUCUCUUCACAGUCCCAAAGUCCAAAAGGAAUUCAUGGCAACUCACAGUAUUAUUAAACAGAGACACGAUCACAUAUAACUAACUCCCUUCCAUCUUCUGUUAGGCAGCAAACAGCAGAAUGACCUUUAAACACUGAUUAAACAACAACUCAUAGAACAGACUGUGAGGACACAGACACACACACACUCUAAUACACACAGGCACACACACUCUAAUACACACAGACACACACACUCUAAUACACACAGACACACACACACUCUAAUACACACUCUAAUACACACAGACACACACACUCUAAUACACACAGACACACACACUCUAAUACACACAGACACACACACACUCUAAUACACACAGACACACACACUCUAAUACACACAGACACUCUAAUACACACACACACACACACUAAUACACACGGACACACACACAAACACACUCUAUAUAUUAUAUAUUAUAUUAUUAUUAUUAAUACACACAGACACACACACACACACACACACUCUAAUACACACAGACACACACACACUCUAAUACACACAGACACACACACACACUAAUACACACAGACACACACACACACUAAUACACACAGACACACACACACACACACUAAUACACACAGACACACACACACACUCUAAUACACACAGACACACACACACACUAACACACACACACACACACACACACACACACACACACCCUAACACACACACACACACCCCACAACACACACACACACACACACUCUGACACACACACACACACACACACACACUACAUGUAUUUACAUGCGUCUCGAUGCACUGAAUUGCACAAGCUUGUGAGAGGUAGAGGUAGAGGUAGAGGUAGCUUUUUGAGAACCAGAACCAGGUUCUUUUGCUUUAUGGUGCACAAAAAAGCUACAUCUCCACGUAACAUCGCUGUAAUGUAAAGGUUGACAUAACAUCACUGUAAUGUAAAGGUUGACGUAACAUCGCUGUAAUGUAAAGGUUGCCGUAACAUCGCUGUAAUGUAAAGGUUGCCGUAACAUCGCUGUAAUGUAAAGGUUGCCAUAACAUCGCUGUAAUGUAAAGGUUGCCAUAACAUCGCUGUAAUGUAAAGGUUGCCAUAACAUCGCUGUAAUGUAAAGGUUGCCAUAACAUCGCUGUAAUGUAAAGGUUGCCAUAACAUCGCUGUAAUGUAAAGGUUGCCAUAACAUCGCUGUAAUGUAAAGGUUGCCGUAACAUCGCUGUAAUGUAAAGGUUGACGUAACAUCGCUGUAAUGUAAAGGUUGCCGUAACAUCGCUGUAAUGUAAAGGUUGACAUAACAUCGCUGUAAUGUAAAGGUUGCCGUAACAUCGCUGUAAUGUAAAGGUUGACGUAACAUCGCUGUAAUGUAAAGGUUGCCAUAACAUCGCUGUAAUGUAAAGGUUGACAUAACAUCGCUGUAAUGUAAAGGUUGACAUAACAUCGCUGUAAUGUAAAGGUUGACAUAACAUCGCUGUAAUGUAAAGGUUGACAUAACAUCGCUGUAAUGUAAAGGUUGACAUAACAUCGCUGUAAUGUAAAGGUUGACAUAACAUCGCUGUAAUGUAAAGGUUGACAUAACAUCGCUGUAAUGUAAAGGUUGACAUAACAUCGCUGUAAUGUAAAGGUUGACAUAACAUCGCUGUAAUGUAAAGGUUGCCGUAACAUCGCUGUAAUGUAAAGGUUGACGUAACAUCGCUGUAAUGUAAAGGUUGCCGUAACAUCGCUGUAAUGUAAAGGUUGACAUAACAUCGCUGUAAUGUAAAGGUUGACAUAACAUCGCUGUAAUGUAAAGGUUGACAUAACAUCGCUGUAAUGUAAAGGUUGACGUAACAUCGCUGUAAUGUAAAGGUUGCCGUAACAUCGCUGUAAUGUAAAGGUUGCCGUAACAUCGCUGUAAUGUAAAGGUUGACAUAACAUCGCUGUAAUGUAAAGGUUGACGUAACAUCGCUGUAAUGUAAAGGUUGACGUAACAUCGCUGUAAUGUAAAGGUUGCCAUAACAUCGCUGUAAUGUAAAGGUUGCCGUAACAUCGCUGUAAUGUAAAGGUUGCCGUAACAUCGCUGUAAUGUAAAGGUUGCCGUAACAUCGCUGUAAUGUAAAGGUUGCCGUAACAUCGCUGUAAUGUAAAGGUUGACAUAACAUCACUGUAAUGUAAAGGUUGACAUAACAUCGCUGUAAUGUAAAGGUUGCCAUAACAUCGCUGUAAUGUAAAGGUUGCCGUAACAUCGCUGUAAUGUAAAGGUUGCCAUAACAUCGCUGUAAUGUAAAGGUUGACAUAACAUCGCUGUAAUGUAAAGGUUGACGUAACAUCGCUGUAAUGUAAAGGUUGCCAUAACAUCGCUGUAAUGUAAAGGUUGCCGUAACAUCGCUGUAAUGUAAAGGUUGCCGUAACAUCGCUGUAAUGUAAAGGUUGCCAUAACAUCGCUGUAAUGUAAAGGUUGCCAUAACAUCGCUGUAAUGUAAAG
Molecule: long non-coding RNA, 2683 nt
Organism: Oncorhynchus keta (chum salmon)
Lineage: Eukaryota; Metazoa; Chordata; Actinopteri; Salmoniformes; Salmonidae
Exons: 4
Source: RefSeq, a predicted model, not a curated record